GCUGGGUGCGGUGGCACACGCCUGCAAUCCCAGCAGCUUGGGAGGCUGAGGCAGGAGGAUCACAAGUUCAAAACCAGCCUCAGCAACUUAGUGAGGCACUAAACAACUUAGUGACAUCCUGUCUCUA
Molecule: small RNA, 127 nt
Filed under: Marmota monax (woodchuck)
Lineage: Eukaryota; Metazoa; Chordata; Mammalia; Rodentia; Sciuridae
Source: RNAcentral